RNAcentral lists this ribosomal RNA (468 nucleotides) under uncultured bacterium. Its description in RNAcentral is "partial 16S ribosomal RNA". It matches the Rfam family "Bacterial small subunit ribosomal RNA", at positions 28 to 507 of the family's 1533-position model. The record is from RNAcentral.
GACGAACGCUGGCGGCGUGCUUAACACAUGCAAGUCGAACGGAAAGGCCCUGCUUUUGUGGGGUGCUCGAGUGGCGAACGGGCGAGUAACACGUGAGUAACCUGCCCUUGACUUUGGGAUAACUUCAGGAAACUGGGGCUAAUACCGGAUAGGAGCUCCUGCUGCAUGGUGGGGGUUGGAAAGUUUCGGCGGUUGGGGAUGGACUCGCGGCUUAUCAGCUUGUUGGUGGGGUAGUGGCUUACCAAGGCUUUGACGGGUAGCCGGCCUGAGAGGGUGACCGGCCACAUUGGGACUGAGAUACGGCCCAGACUCCUACGGGAGGCAGCAGUGGGGAAUAUUGCACAAUGGGCAGAAGCCUGAUGCAGCAACGCCGCGUGCGGGAUGACGGCCUUCGGGUUGUAAACCGCUUUCGCCUGUGACGAAGCGUGAGUGACGGUAAUGGGUAAAGAAGCACCGGCUAACUACGUG